UUACCAGGUCUUGACAUCCCGAUGCUAUUCUAGAGAUAGAAAGUUACUUCGGUACAUCGGUGACAGGUGGUGGCAUGGUUGUCGUCAGCUCGUGUCGUGAGAUGUUGGUUAAGUCCCGCAACGAGCGCAACCCCUAUUGUUAGUUGCCAUCAUUCAGUUGGGCACUCUAGCGAGACUGCCGGUAAUAAACCGGAGGAAGGUGGGGAUGACGUCAAAUCAUCAUGCCCCUUAUGACCUGGGCUACACACGUGCUACAAUGGUUGGUACAACGAGUUGCGAGUCGGUGACGGCGAGCUAAUCUCUUAAAGCCAAUCUCAGUUCGGAUUGUAGGCUGCAACUCGCCUACAUGAAGUCGGAAUCGCUAGUAAUCGCGGAUCAGCACGCCGCGGUGAAUACGUUCCCGGGCCUU
Molecule: ribosomal RNA, 409 nt
Filed under: uncultured Streptococcus sp.
Lineage: Bacteria; Bacillati; Bacillota; Bacilli; Lactobacillales; Streptococcaceae
Description: bacterial SSU rRNA
Rfam family: Bacterial small subunit ribosomal RNA
Source: RNAcentral